UGGGGAAUUUUGCACAAUGGGGGAAACCCUGAUGCAGCGACGCCGCGUGAUUUAGAAGGCCUUCGGGUUGUAAAAAUCUUUUCUAUGGGAAGAAAAUGACAGUACCAUAGGAAUAAGGACCGGCUAAUUACGUGCCAGCAGCCGCGGUAAUACGUAAGGUCCGAGCGUUGUCCAGAAUCAUUGGGCGUAAAGGGUACGUAGGCGGGUAAGCAAGUUAGAAGUGAAAUCCUAUAGCUCAACUAUAGUAAGCUUUUAAAACUGCUCAUCUUGAGGUAUGGAAAGGAAAGUGGAAUUCCUAGUGUAGCGGUGAAAUGCGCAGAUAUUAGGAGGAAUACCGGUGGCGAAGGCGACUUUCUGGCCAUAACCUGACGCUGAGGUACGAAAGCGUGGGUAGCAAACAGG
This 402-nucleotide ribosomal RNA is filed under the name bacterium. Its description in RNAcentral is "partial 16S ribosomal RNA". It matches the Rfam family "Bacterial small subunit ribosomal RNA", at positions 355 to 776 of the family's 1533-position model. The record is from RNAcentral.